This 134-nucleotide small nuclear RNA is filed under the name Loxodonta africana (African savanna elephant). RNAcentral's name for it is "U1 spliceosomal RNA (ENSLAFG00000032972.1)". The record is from RNAcentral. Lineage: Eukaryota; Metazoa; Chordata; Mammalia; Proboscidea; Elephantidae.
CCUCUUACCUGGCAGGGGAGAUACCACAAUCUCCAAGGUGGUUUCCCCUGGGGUGAGGCUCAUCCCUGGCACUGCAGAUGUGCAGAUCCUAUAUUUCCCCAAAUUAAAAAAAAAAAAAGAAGCUGCUGUGUGGC